GACGAACGCUGGCGGCGUGCUUAGCACAUGCAAGUCGAACGGAAAGGCCCUGCUUGCAGGGUACUCGAGUGGCGAACGGGUGAGUAACACGUGGGUGAUCUGCCCUGCACUUCGGGAUAAGCUUGGGAAACUGGGUCUAAUACCGGAUAGGAGCCAUCUUUAGUGUGGUGGUUGGAAAGUUUUUUCGGUGUAGGAUGAGCUCGCGGCCUAUCAGCUUGUUGGUGGGGUAAUGGCCUACCAAGGCGGCGACGGGUAGCCGGCCUGAGAGGGUGUACGGCCACAUUGGGACUGAGAUACGGCCCAGACUCCUACGGGAGGCAGCAGUGGGGAAUAUUGCACAAUGGGCGCAAGCCUGAUGCAGCGACGCCGCGUGGGGGAUGAAGGCCUUCGGGUUGUAAACUCCUUUCGCUAGGGACGAAGCUUUUUGUGACGGUACCGAGAUAAGAAGCACCGGCUAACUACGU
Molecule: ribosomal RNA, 464 nt
Filed under: uncultured bacterium
Lineage: Bacteria
Description: partial 16S ribosomal RNA
Rfam family: Bacterial small subunit ribosomal RNA
Source: RNAcentral